Molecule: long non-coding RNA, 228 nt
Organism: Myotis daubentonii (Daubenton's bat)
Lineage: Eukaryota; Metazoa; Chordata; Mammalia; Chiroptera; Vespertilionidae
Exons: 2
Source: RefSeq, a predicted model, not a curated record
CCUGACCGGUUUGGCUCAGUGGAUAGAGCGUCAGCCUGUGGGCUGAAAGGUCCCAGGUUCGAUUCAGGUCAAGGGCAUGUACCUUGGUUGCGGGCACAUCCCCAGUGGGGGGUUGUGCAGGAAGCAGCUGAUCGAUGUUUCUCUCUCAUUGAUGUUUCUAACUCUCUAUCCCUCUCCCUUCCUCUCUGUAAAAAAAUCAAUAAAAUAUAUUUUUUAAAAACCCAGCAA